This 74-nucleotide transfer RNA is filed under the name Nanobdellota archaeon. Its description in RNAcentral is "tRNA-Pro". It matches the Rfam family "tRNA". Rfam says of the family: Transfer RNA (tRNA) molecules are approximately 80 nucleotides in length. The record is from RNAcentral. Lineage: Archaea; Nanobdellati; Nanobdellota.
GGGGUUGUGGGCUAGUUUGGCUAUGCUUCAAGGUUUGGGACCUUGUGACCCCGGUUCAAAUCCGGGCAACCCCA